This 844-nucleotide long non-coding RNA is filed under the name Mustela putorius furo (domestic ferret). Its description in RNAcentral is "lncRNA (ENSMPUG00000023868.1)". The record is from RNAcentral. Lineage: Eukaryota; Metazoa; Chordata; Mammalia; Carnivora; Mustelidae.
AAGAGAGAUGGAGGAAGGGGCAGAGAGAGACGGAGAGAGAGAAUCUUAAGCAGGCUCCCAGCCCAGUGCAGAGCCUGAUGCAGGGUUUGAUCCUGUAGUCCUGAGAUAAUAACCCUAUCUGAAAUUAAGAGUUGGACACCCAACUGACUGAGCCCCAGGCACCCUAAGUUUCUGACUUUUAGUGAAUGUUUAAACUGGUGGUAGGUGGAAUAAUGGCCCCCAAGAGAUGUUCAUGUCCUAAUCCCUGGAACAUAUGAAUAUGUUACUUUAUAUGAUGUAAGAUAAUUAAGUUUUCAGGUGGAAUUAAGAUUGUUUAUCAGCUGUCUUAAAAUGGGUAUAUCUUGGAAUGCCAUGUGUGUCCAGUGUAAGUCCUUAAUAUCUGAGAACUUUUCCCAGCAGAAAUCAGGUUGAUUUGAAGACAGGAGGAGAGGCAGGAGAAAUUCAAAAUUUGAGAGUCUUUGAUCUUCUAUUGCCGGCUUUGGAAAUGGGGGAAGGCAACCAUGAGCUAAGGCAUUCAGUGUUUGGGAGGUCCCCAAGACACACUUACUUCUGACACCAACUGCAAGUUUAGGUGUCUACAAGAUUGCCCUCAGAUUCAAAAAUUCAGUAGAAGAAUUCACAGAAUGAAGCAAAACUCUUAUACUCACAGUUACAGUUUAUUAUAGUGAAAAGAAACAGAUUAAAAUAAACCAAGACAAGAAGUUCAUGAGGCAGGAUAUAAGAGACGAACUACAGAGUUUUCAUUGGGGGUUGGUCCUCUAGAUGUGGUUGACCACUUGUGUGACUGACCAUAGCCUGUAGCCCUUUCAGAGGUCAAGGUGGUGUCACAUGGCCCUAAGUUCUG